Non-coding RNA from Podarcis lilfordi (Lilford's wall lizard), 76 nucleotides. NCBI's taxonomy places the organism in Eukaryota, Metazoa, Chordata, Lepidosauria, Squamata, Lacertidae. The record is from the annotation of a GenBank genome assembly.
GCCUGGAUAGCUCAGUUGGUUAAGAGCAUGGUGAUGAUAACACCAAGGCUGCAGGUUCGAUCCCCGUAUGGGGACA